RNAcentral lists this ribosomal RNA (448 nucleotides) under uncultured bacterium. RNAcentral's name for it is "bacterial SSU rRNA". It matches the Rfam family "Bacterial small subunit ribosomal RNA", at positions 223 to 661 of the family's 1533-position model. The record is from RNAcentral.
GGAUGAGCCCGCGUCCCAUCAGCUAGUUGGUAGGGGUAAUGGCCUACCAAGGCUACGACGGGUAGCUGGUCUAAGAGGAUGGCCAGCCACACUGGAACUGAGACACGGUCCAGACUCCUACGGGAGGCAGCAGUGGGGAAUCUUGCGCAAUGGGCGAAAGCCUGACGCAGCGACGCCGCGUGGGUGACGAAGGCCUCGGUUGUAAAGCCCUGUGGGGUAGGAACGAACUGGCAUCGGGCGUAAUAUCCCGGUGUCUUGACGGUACUGCCUUAGCAAGCAUCGGCUAACUCUGUGCCAGCAGCCGCGGUAAGACAGAGGAUGCGAACGUUGCUCGGAUUUACUGGGCGUAAAGCGCGUGUAGGCGGUCUCGUUAGUCGGGUGUGAAAGCCCCGGGCUCAACCCGGGAAGUGCACCCGAUACUGCGAGACUGGGGUACUGAAGAGGAGAG